Molecule: ribosomal RNA, 497 nt
Filed under: uncultured bacterium
Lineage: Bacteria
Description: partial 16S ribosomal RNA
Rfam family: Bacterial small subunit ribosomal RNA
Source: RNAcentral
GAUGAACGCUGGCGGCGUGCCUAAUACAUGCAAGUCGAGCGAACAGACGAGGAGCUUGCUCCUCUGACGUUAGCGGCGGACGGGUGAGUAACACGUGGAUAACCUACCUAUAAGACUGGGAUAACUUUGGGAAACCGGAGCUAAUACCGGAUAAUAUAUUGAACCGCAUGGUUCAAUAGUGAAAGACGGUUUUGCUGCCACUUAUAGAUGGAUCCGCGCCGCAUUAGCUAGUUGGUAAGGUAACGGCUUACCAAGGCAACGAUGCGUAGCCGACCUGAGAGGGUGAUCGGCCACACUGGAACUGAGACACGGUCCAGACUCCUACGGGAGGCAGCAGUAGGGAAUCUUCCGCAAUGGGCGAAAGCUUGACGGAGCAACGCCGCGUGAGUGAUGAAGGUCUUCGGAUCGUAAAACUCUGUUAUUAGGGAAGAACAAAUGUGUAAGUAACUAUGCACGUCUUGACGGUACCUAAUCAGAAAGCCACGGCUAACUACGUG